AUUGAACGCUGGCGGCAGGCCUAACACAUGCAAGUCGAACGAGUGGCGGACGGGUGAGUAAUGUAUGGGAAACUGCCUGAUGGAGGGGGAUAACUACUGGAAACGGUAGCUAAUACCGCAUACCAUCGGAUGUGCCCAGAUGGGAUUAGCUUGUAGGUGGGGUAACGGCUCACCUAGGCGACGAUCCCUAGCUGGUCUGAGAGGAUGAUCAGCCACACUGGGACUGAGACACGGUCCAGACUCCUACGGGAGGCAGCAGUGGGGAAUAUUGCACAAUGGGCGCAAGCCUGAUGCAGCCAUGCCGCGUGUAUGAAGAAGGCCUUCGGGUUGUAAAGUACUUUCAGUGGGGAGGCGUUACCGGCAGAAGAAGCACCGGCUAACUCCGUGCCAGCAGCCGCGGUAAUUC
This 406-nucleotide ribosomal RNA is filed under the name uncultured bacterium. RNAcentral's name for it is "partial 16S ribosomal RNA". It matches the Rfam family "Bacterial small subunit ribosomal RNA", at positions 30 to 526 of the family's 1533-position model. The record is from RNAcentral.